Molecule: ribosomal RNA, 613 nt
Filed under: uncultured bacterium
Lineage: Bacteria
Description: bacterial SSU rRNA
Rfam family: Bacterial small subunit ribosomal RNA (bases 1-521)
Source: RNAcentral
CCUACGGGAGGCAGCAGUGGGGAAUAUUGGGCAAUGGAGGAAACUCUGACCCAGCGACGCCGCGUGCGGGAUGAAGGCCUUCGGGUUGUAAACCGCUUUCAGUAGGGAAGAAGCGAAAGUGACGGUACCUACAGAAGAAGCACCGGCUAACUAUGUGCCAGCAGCCGCGGUAAUACAUAGGGUGCAAGCGUUGUCCGGAAUUAUUGGGCGUAAAGAGCUCGUAGGUGGUUCGUCACGUCGGAUGUGAAAAUCUGGGGCUCAACCCCAGACCUGCAUUCGAUACGGGCGAUCUAGAGUGUGGUAGGGGAGACUGGAAUUCCUGGUGUAGCGGUGGAAUGCGCAGAUAUCAGGAGGAACACCAAUGGCGAAGGCAGGUCUCUGGGCCAUUACUGACACUGAGGAGCGAAAGCGUGGGGAGCGAACAGGAUUAGAUACCCUGGUAGUCCACGCCGUAAACGGUGGGCACUAGUUGUGGGAACCUUCCACGGUUUCUGCGACGCAGCUACGCAUAGUAGCCCGCCGUCGGGAGGUACGAGUCGCGAAGAAUUAAAACGUUAAAACGGUAAGUUAGACGGCGUGAGACGAGCCGACGGACGACGACGAGGGAGGUAGG